AUGGCCGACGCGAACGGAUCGCCCUCGCCGUCGCCGCAGCACUCCUCCGGCGGCGAGGCCGUGACCGGCGACUUCGUGGCGGUGCCGGGCGCCGGCCCGCACGCGUCGUUCCAGGCGCUGCUCGCGUCCGUGGGCGGCCACGACCCGCACGGCGCCGUGGCGAACGUCCUGGCGCAGCGCCAGUACCAGGAGUUCGAGCAGCUGUUCGGGCCCCCCGUCCCGCUGAUCCAGGCACCGCCGCAGCCAAUGCCCCUCCAGGUCCAGGCCCCCCCGCCGACCCCGCCGCCGCCGCACUGCGCCCAGUCCAACCUGCUGAUGCCCGCCGGGACGCACAACUACCAGCACUGGCAGCCGCCCGCCCCCCAGAUGGGCGUCGCAGCGGCGCCGCGGCAGGCCCCGAUGGGAGCAGGGGUUUUUGGGGACUGGACCAUGUACAACGUCAACAACACGUUCGUGUCUGUCGCCUGCGGUAGCAGCAGCAGCUUCCGCGGCAACAACAAUGGCUACCAUCAGAGCUCGAGGCUGUGCUCCCCCACUGCAUGGCCCAAUAACUUCAUGCCGCCGCCGAGGAGCCCUUACAGUGUUUAUCCUCAUGGCAUACAGCAGCAGCAGGGUCACCAACAAGCUAUCACCUACAAUGCCAACAAUAAUCAUCAGCAAGGUAAUUCAGGCUUUGUAUCCAACUUCAGGGUGGAUCCACCAUUACUACCUGCUCAGUGCUUUCAACCAAUAUCUCCGGCGUCAAACAAUCGCUCUCCUCCACAAUACCUCGACGAGGCCAGAUACGCCGAAAGGGCCAAGAGGCGCACCCAGAAGAGGAAGAAUUCAGAGGACCCGCCUGAGAUGGGAAGUGAAAACGCCAUGAUGCUAGAUGAGAAUCACAACUUCAGCAACCAGGCCCAGCAAAUUUUCACUACUAGGUUCAACUGUAAAGACUACCAUAUGAUUGUGUGGAAGGAGUUGACCAACAGUGAUGUUGGAAAUAUUGGAAGAAUUGUACUGCCAAAGAGGGAUGCUGAGGCUAACCUUCCAGCUUUGCUUGAAAGGGAUGGCCUGAUACUCAAGAUGGAGGACAUGAGGCUUCCUGUUACAUGGAACUUUAAGUUCAGGUACUGGCCUAACAACAAGAGCAGAAUGUAUGUCUUGGAAAGUACGGGAGAAUUUUCAAAGAACCAUAAUCUAGAGACACAAGACACCUUCAUCAUCUACAAAAGCCACGAGUCCGGCAAAUUUAUUGUCCGUGGGGAGAAGGUGACUGGGCAGUGCGCUACCUUAAUUUGUCCGGAAUGCAAGGAGGCAGGCCGCAUCUACAACAAACAAUGCGGGUUCACCAGGAACCUGCAUGCCAAGAGAAGAAGAUAG
Molecule: ribosomal RNA, 1362 nt
Filed under: Triticum aestivum (bread wheat)
Lineage: Eukaryota; Viridiplantae; Streptophyta; Magnoliopsida; Poales; Poaceae
Description: partial small subunit ribosomal RNA
Source: RNAcentral